UAAGCCUAAGUAGUGUUUCCUUG
This 23-nucleotide small nuclear RNA is filed under the name Arabidopsis thaliana (thale cress). Its description in RNAcentral is "snRNA_05387". Lineage: Eukaryota; Viridiplantae; Streptophyta; Magnoliopsida; Brassicales; Brassicaceae. The record is from RNAcentral.